GGGCAGUUGCUAUUGCACUAGUGCUAGCUGGCAGGCUGAAAGAACUACGGGUUAUAGAUAUUCUUACUGUUUAUUAUGGCAUCGAGAAAUCAUUCAGUAGUUUGGCUCCACAUGUUGUAGUGUGGUUAUUGGAUUCAUACAACACUCAAAUACUUAUCAUGGUAUUUCUGGCUAUAAUUUCUAUGCUACUGGCUGGUUUCCUUGCAUACCACACCAAACUGUGUGUCACAAAUACCACAACAAAUGAGACUUUCAAAUGGAAAGAGUACUUAAGCUGGAAGAGGAAGGUUAAUGAAGCAAAGGCAAGUGCAGCAGCACUCAAAGCAAGUUUGGGUGAAUUGAACCAUGAAAAGAAGCACCCUGUGAGCAAAUGGAAAGCCUUCUUCCAAAGGUCCCCUCUUGAAGAAGUGGAGGUUGUGAAGAAUAACAUUUACGAUAGAGGAGUGCUCCAGAAUGUCUUUGAGAUUGUAGUUCCUCUUUCAUCAAGACGGUCAUUUUUACAGAGGAAACCAAAAUCAGGUUAGAGUUGUCAGUUUGUGAACCAUAAUCUCAUAGGGGCUUGGUAGCUCAUCCUUGGUUCAAUGUCUUUAGUAUAAUAGUCAUAUUAGCAAGGAGCUUAAAUGUGAAGAAUAGUCAUUUUUGCCAAACAUAUCACUGACAAGUAUCGAGGAAGGGGGUUAAGUUCGUGCACCGGUGUUGGUUCUUUUUGCUUUUCUGCAGUUGCAGCUAUUGAAUGGAGGUCCUUACUGCUCUUUUUUUUUGUGCAUUCUACUUCCUACUUGUGGUGCAGCCUAGGUUACCUCAUAUUUCUAGGAUGGUUUUCAAUCUGUAUUCGACUUUUUAUACCUCUGUGCUGCUUAGCAGCAGAUUUAAUUAUGUACAAUGUAAUAGGAUGAGAAUGAGUGUGCUAUACGUUUCAAUCCCAAUGUAUACUGUAUCCACCAGCAGUGAAACUGGAAUGCGGAUUGAGUUCAAACGAAUUUUGUGCUCAUGUUGCCAUUAAGAG
RNAcentral lists this unclassified non-coding RNA (1006 nucleotides) under Hevea brasiliensis (rubber tree). The record is from RNAcentral. Lineage: Eukaryota; Viridiplantae; Streptophyta; Magnoliopsida; Malpighiales; Euphorbiaceae.